CACGUAUGGGCGAGCGUUGUUCGGAAUUAUUGGGCGUAAAGGGCAUGCAGGCGGUUAUACAAGUCUGGUGUGAAAGACUCAAGCUUAACUUGAGGAACGCAUUGGAAACUGUAUGACUAGAGUUCUGGAGGGAAGCUGGAAUUCCAGGUGUAGGGGUGAAAUCUGUAGAUAUCUGGAAGAACAUCAGUGGCGAAGGCGAGCUUCUAGCCAAGGACUGACGCUGAGAUGCGAAAGCGU
Molecule: ribosomal RNA, 237 nt
Filed under: uncultured bacterium
Lineage: Bacteria
Description: partial 16S ribosomal RNA
Rfam family: Bacterial small subunit ribosomal RNA
Source: RNAcentral